Molecule: long non-coding RNA, 235 nt
Filed under: Ananas comosus (pineapple)
Lineage: Eukaryota; Viridiplantae; Streptophyta; Magnoliopsida; Poales; Bromeliaceae
Description: long non-coding RNA (ACOM_LNC025979)
Source: RNAcentral
CGAAAAUAUUUAAGACCAAUAUUUUCCCCGAAUUACCGACUGUACCUAAAGCAAGUGAUAAAGGGAUUGGUGGUUGAUACCCGAGACCCAAGUUCGAAUCCUAGUUGAUUCAUAUUUCCAUCUAAGUUUAUUUCUAAAUGAAAUAAACGAAACGGGUAGUGUGCUACCUAUCUCUCAAAAAAAAAAAUAUUUUUCCCGAAUUUUCUUCAGAUCUUUCUACAAUUAAACUUGCUCU